RNAcentral lists this ribosomal RNA (499 nucleotides) under uncultured bacterium. RNAcentral describes it as "partial 16S ribosomal RNA". It matches the Rfam family "Bacterial small subunit ribosomal RNA", at positions 28 to 507 of the family's 1533-position model. The record is from RNAcentral.
GACGAACGCUGGCGGCGUGCCUAAUACAUGCAAGUCGAGCGGACUUUCAAGAAGCUUGCUCUUUGAAAGUUAGCGGCGGACGGGUGAGUAACACGUGGGCAACCUGCCUGCAAGACGGGGAUAACUCCGGGAAACCGGGGCUAAUACCGGAUAAUAUCUUCCUUCGCAUGAAGGAAGGGUGAAAGGCGGCGCAAGCUGCCGCUUGCAGAUGGGCCCGCGGCGCUUUAGGGAGUUGGUGAGGUAACGGCUCACCAAGGCGACGAUGCGUAGCCGAACUGGGGGGGGGAUCGGCCACCCUGGGACUGGGACAGGGCCCAGGCUCCUACGGGAGGGAGCAGUACGGGAACUUCCGCAAAUGGCGGAAGUCUGACGGAACAACGCCGCGGGGGCGCAGGAGGUCGUCGGGUCGUAAAGAUCUGUUGUCAGGGAAGAACAAGUUCCGUUCGAACAGGGCGGUACCUUGACGGUACCUGAUCAGAAAGCCACGGCUAACUACGUG